GCAUCGCCUGGGCGCAGCCUGAUCCAGCAAUGCCGCGUGAGUGAAGAAGGCCUUCGGGUUGUAAAGCUCUUUUGUCAGGGAAGAAACGGUUCAGGCUAAUAUCCUGGGCUAAUGACGGUACCUGAAGAAUAAGCACCGGCUAACUACGUGCCAGCAGCCGCGGUAAUACGUAGGGUGCAAGCGUUAAUCGGAAUUACUGGGCGUAAAGCGUGCGCAGGCGGUUUUGUAAGUCUGACGUGAAAGCCCCGGGCUCAACCUGGGAAUUGCGUUGGAGACUGCAAGGCUUGAAUCUGGCAAAGGGGGGUAGAAUUCCACGUGUAGCAGUGAAAUGCGUAAAGAUGUGGAGGAACACCGAUGGCGAAGGCAGCCCCCUGGGUCAAGAUUGACGCUCAUGCACGAAAGCGUGGGGAGCAAACAGGAUUAAAUACCCUGGUAGUCCACGCCCUAAACGAUGUCUACUAGUUGUCGGGUUUUAAUUAACUUGGUAACGCAGCUAACGCGUGAAGUAAACCGCCUGGGGAGUACGGUCGCAAGAUUAAAACUCAAAUGAAAUUUGACGG
RNAcentral lists this ribosomal RNA (560 nucleotides) under Massilia agri. Its description in RNAcentral is "bacterial SSU rRNA". It matches the Rfam family "Bacterial small subunit ribosomal RNA", at positions 367 to 916 of the family's 1533-position model. Lineage: Bacteria; Pseudomonadati; Pseudomonadota; Betaproteobacteria; Burkholderiales; Oxalobacteraceae. The record is from RNAcentral.